Molecule: long non-coding RNA, 2716 nt
Organism: Puntigrus tetrazona (Sumatra barb)
Lineage: Eukaryota; Metazoa; Chordata; Actinopteri; Cypriniformes; Cyprinidae
Exons: 4
Source: RefSeq, a predicted model, not a curated record
UCCAUUCAAAAUAGGCAUUUUAAUAAACGAUUGGUGGGGUAUUUUGAGAUGAAACUUCACAGACACAUACUGGGGACACCUGAUCAACUGCAAAGGUUUCCAAACAGGCUGCUAACUAAAGUAGAGCUUUUGUUAAAUAAAACGUGGAAUUGCUUUAAUUACAUUUUUAAAUUAGGAUUCUUUUUUAUGAAGUGUUACUUUGUUCCACACACAAGUCAGUCACAUCGAGAGAUUUUUAGUGUGCCGCUGCGCCUGUAAUGAGAUACAGAUGCUUGUGCCAAACUACCUGUGCCCCGGCCGCCCACCGCAUCUCCUCUCCGAGCAUCUCUUCAAAUCCCGAAAUCAGCCAAAUGACUCUGGGGGGUCCAGACUUCAACUGUGAGCAUUAGCCUUUGAAUAAACAAUUACCGAAGCGCGGCCUCCACAGCCUUUCUGGACAAUGAUGGCGCGAUAAUGAUGCUCCAUGCUUCCAUGCCAUUUCCUAGUAUUUCAACAGCGCCACAUCCUCUCCAGCAAUCCCUGUUUCCAUGCCAACCGCAUCCUCCGUCCUCCUGCCUGCAACUCCGCAGAACAAUAAACACAAAAAGGGCUGAUUAUGGAUUUCAUAGCCAUCACACCUGUAUUGAUCCUGUUUGUCUUUUUGAAGUGAUGGAAGAUGAUAAUGUACGGCGACUCGGACGGCGUGUCCUCCGCCUGAGCCUGCGUGUCGGUGAUGGAGGUGUCCCGUUGAAGCUUUGAUGCAAGAUCUUGACAGCCGUAGUGACCGGCGCAUUGAUCGAGUCAUUAACAGGAGGGGGAGAACAAUGGCUUGGCGAGAUGUUCUUGAUCCUGAAGUUGAUUUUAGAAGACUUGGAAUGCAGCGGAUAAACAGAUUUUAUGCUGACCAAAGUUACUCCCAGAACAGACUUUUGGUGGGAAGCCUGGGAACGAAACAGAAGCCAUUCGCCUCAUUAGAAGUCAGCGUGCCAUCUAAAUAAUUUGGAAACUGAAAUUUCAAGGUAAAAUACAUCGCAGCAAAUGAACUCAUCUAUCUCCAAAUAUCUUGUGCACUCCGUUCACGUAAAUCUUUCAUUAGCCAGAUAAGAAAACGAAAAGGGGGUGGAAAAUCCAACUCUAACAUUAAUUCCCAUGUUCUGUAGUUAGCAGCUGUGCGUGAUUAGAGCCGAGUGUGUCGUGCCCUCUUGACCCUCCUUGUUUUUAGACGAAUUAACGGCGACACGCCUCUGUGCCUGCUUUACUCAUCAUCUUCAUUCAAGCUCACCGCUCUCCCAGCCUGUCCUGCGGUAGCGUAAUAAUGAUUUACAUGAGUGAGUUAUCAGUAUGUGAGGAUUAAAUGACACAUGCUGUAGAGAGUUUUAUUGGCAAGGAGAUAAAAUCAGUGAGGAUAAUGUAGUUUGGACAUGAAAUGUGCCAGAAUUAGCCGUACAAAAUAAGACACGGCAGAGUGGACUGUCAAAAUGCCAUGAAAUGACUGAUAUUUACACACAUUUGGGAUUUGGGCUUUUUCUCAAAGAUAAACUUUGCUAAUUAGGGGCUGGGAAAGUUUUGUAAAUGCUUUAGAAAAGAAUCGCUGGUACAAUAAGUUUACAAUGUGGGUACACAAAUAUGCACUAAUUCUUGCUUAACUAACGCACAAGUAAUCGCAAGUAAAUGGACUAAACCAUUUAUCACUACUACAUCAGCAGGGGUCGUCGCUAGUGAGGUGAAAAGGGUGACAUAGGGCCCAGAUGUCUGGCGGCCCAUAAUCGCCUGCUGGCCAUAGGGGACACCGGGACAUUCCAUUCGAGUUAUUAAGCGCUGUUUUUAAACUACAUCACAUGCUAAACUGCAUAAAACAAGCUGAUGCUGUAUGAAAAUGAGGACCAUGGUUUUACUUCUUAUGACCACCAUCUUAAUACUAGUCAGUUAAACUCUGAAUACUUCUUUCUUUUUAGAUUUUUAGUUUGAAUGACUUUUUAUUGACGCGAACUGUUAAUUCAGUAAGGGCCUGAUUAAAGAAAGAUAUCGGUGUCUUAAAUAAAUUAGGUGUUCUUAAAGGGAGAUAUACCGAAAAAAAUGAAUAUUGUCAACAUUUACUUGACAUUAAGUCUUUCCAAACCUGUUUGAAUUUCUUUCUCCUGUGGAACACAAUUUGAGAGACAUUUUGAAAAUUUUUGUAGCAUUCUACAAAAUAUCUUUAGUGUUCCACAAAAGAAAGUCAUGAGGGUGAGGAAAUGAUGACAGAAUUUAUUAGCAGUAACUUUCCAGCAGUCUAGCUCGAAAUCAAUGCUUUGCUGUCAAGUGCUUUUCUGUGACAGAAAUGCAUUAUGAAGUUUGUUGUAUUUGCUGUGAACUCAGUAAUAUCUAUCAGUAUUCACUUCUGUCCUAUUUAUUUAUUUUUUUCAUUUAUUUACUCCAGUUGAAGGCCCUAUUACACAUUAAAACAUUCAAGGGGGAAUUUGUGGGCUAGAUGGGCUUGAUAUGUUGAAUUUAAUUUUGAGAAUACGGCCCUGUAUAUCAGCAACUAAUGAACAUUACGUGAUUCAUAGAUUAAGUAAUAAAUAAAUGUGUCAUGAAGUAUUCGUUCCCUAAUUACAUAAAUUCAUACGUUAAUUACCACAGUGGUCAAAUCAACAAUUUAAUUAAUUAUUAGCUAAUGAUUUGCAAAGGUAUCAUUAUGUUAUGACUUCACUUGUUGAGGCACAGAACUAUGAACUAAUUGUUCAGUAAUAAGUCA